Molecule: ribosomal RNA, 625 nt
Filed under: Ureaplasma diversum
Lineage: Bacteria; Bacillati; Mycoplasmatota; Mycoplasmoidales; Mycoplasmoidaceae
Description: bacterial SSU rRNA
Rfam family: Bacterial small subunit ribosomal RNA
Source: RNAcentral
GGUGCGACGUAUCAGAUAGUUGGUGAGGUAACGGCUCACCAAGUCAUUGACGCGUAGCUGUACUGAGAGGUAGAACAGCCACAAUGGGACUGAGACACGGCCCAUACUCCUACGGGAGGCAGCAGUAGGGAAUUUUUCACAAUGGGCGAAAGCCUUAUGAAGCAAUGCCGCGUGAACGAUGAAGGUCUAUAAGAUUGUAAAGUUCUUUUAUUUGGGAAGAACCACUAAAAUAGGAAAUGAUUUUAGUUUGACUGUACCAUUUGAAUAAGUAUCGGCUAACUAUGUGCCAGCAGCCGCGGUAAUACAUAGGAUGCAAGCGUUAUCCGGAUUUACUGGGCGUAAAACGAGCGCAGGCGGAUUUGUAAGUUUGGUAUGAAAUCUAGAUGCUUAACGUCUAGCUGUAUCAAAAACUACGAAUCUAGAGUGUAGCAGAGAGUUGGGGAACUCCAUGUGGAGCGGUAAAAUGCGUAGAUAUAUGGAAGAACACCGGUGGCGAAGGCGCCAACUUGGACUAUUACUGACGCUUAGGCUCGAAAGUGUGGGGAGCAAAUAGGAUUAGAUACCCUAGUAGUCCACACCGUAAACGAUCAUCAUUAAAUGUCGGCUCGCUUAUGAGUCGGUGUUG